UCCGGAAUGGUCUAACGGUCAUGAUUUCCGCUUGUCACUUGUAUAACAAGCGCGGGAGACCAGGGUUCGACUCCCUGUUCCGGAG
Molecule: transfer RNA, 85 nt
Filed under: Coccidioides posadasii str. Silveira
Lineage: Eukaryota; Fungi; Ascomycota; Eurotiomycetes; Onygenales; Onygenaceae
Also listed under: 1 other name
Rfam family: tRNA
About the family: Transfer RNA (tRNA) molecules are approximately 80 nucleotides in length.
Source: Rfam by way of RNAcentral